CUACGGGUCGCUGCAGUGGGGAAUAUUGGACAAUGGGCGAAAGCCUGAUCCAGCAAUGCCGCGUGAGUGAUGAAGGCCUUAGGGUUGUAAAGCUCUUUUACCAGGGAUGAUAAUGACAGUACCUGGAGAAUAAGCUCCGGCUAACUCCGUGCCAGCAGCCGCGGUAAUACGGAGGGAGCUAGCGUUGUUCGGAAUUACUGGGCGUAAAGCGCACGUAGGCGGCUUUUCAAGUCAGGGGUGAAAUCCCGGGGCUCAACCCCGGAACUGCCCUUGAAACUGGAUGGCUAGAAUACUGGAGAGGUGAGUGGAAUUCCGAGUGUAGAGGUGAAAUUCGUAGAUAUUCGGAAGAACACCAGUGGCGAAGGCGACUCACUGGACAGUUAUUGACGCUGAGGUGCGAAAGCGUGGGGAGCAAACAGGAUUAGAUACCCCCGUAGUC
This 439-nucleotide ribosomal RNA is filed under the name uncultured bacterium. Its description in RNAcentral is "partial 16S ribosomal RNA". It matches the Rfam family "Bacterial small subunit ribosomal RNA", at positions 339 to 795 of the family's 1533-position model. The record is from RNAcentral.